GUCUACGACCAUACCACGUUGAAAGCACGACAUCCCGUCCGAUCUGUCAAGUUAAGCAACGUUGGGCCUGGUUAGUACUUGGAUCGGAGACGGCCU
RNAcentral lists this ribosomal RNA (96 nucleotides) under Brugia malayi. The record is from RNAcentral. Lineage: Eukaryota; Metazoa; Nematoda; Chromadorea; Rhabditida; Onchocercidae.